AGAGUUGGCAACACCCGAAGUCGGUAGUCUAACCGCAAGGAGGACGCCGCCGAAGGUGGGGUUGGAUGAUUAGGGUUAAGUCGUAACAAGGUAGC
This 95-nucleotide ribosomal RNA is filed under the name uncultured bacterium. RNAcentral's name for it is "partial 16S ribosomal RNA". It matches the Rfam family "Bacterial small subunit ribosomal RNA", at positions 1407 to 1500 of the family's 1533-position model. The record is from RNAcentral.